UGGGGAAUUUUGGACAAUGGGCGCAAGCCUGAUCCAGCCAUACCGCGUGAGUGAAGAAGGCCUUCGGGUUGUAAAGCUCUUUCAGACGGAAAGAAACGGUUACGGCUAAUACCCGUGACUAAUGACGGUACCGUAAGAAGAAGCACCGGCUAACUACGUGCCAGCAGCCGCGGUAAUACGUAGGGUGCGAGCGUUAAUCGGAAUUACUGGGCGUAAAGCGUGCGCAGGCGGUUUGGUAAGACAGAUGUGAAAUCCCCGGGCUUAACCUGGGAACUGCAUUUGUGACUGCCAGACUAGAGUGUAGCAGAGGGGGGUGGAAUUCCACGUGUAGCAGUGAAAUGCGUAGAGAUGUGGAGGAACACCGAUGGCGAAGGCAGCCCCCUGGGUUAACACUGACGCUCAUGCACGAAAGCGUGGGGAGCAAACAGGAUUAGAUACCCGGGUAGUCCCUGAGCGGGCUGGCAAGGCGCAU
Molecule: ribosomal RNA, 472 nt
Filed under: uncultured bacterium
Lineage: Bacteria
Description: bacterial SSU rRNA
Rfam family: Bacterial small subunit ribosomal RNA
Source: RNAcentral